RNAcentral lists this ribosomal RNA (268 nucleotides) under uncultured bacterium. RNAcentral's name for it is "partial 16S ribosomal RNA". It matches the Rfam family "Bacterial small subunit ribosomal RNA", at positions 202 to 467 of the family's 1533-position model. The record is from RNAcentral.
AGGCGGCGUAAGCUGUCGCUAUGGGAUGGCCCCGCGGUGCAUUAGCUAGUUGGUAAGGUAACGGCUUACCAAGGCGAUGAUGCAUAGCCGAGUUGAGAGACUGAUCGGCCACAUUGGGACUGAGACACGGCCCAAACUCCUACGGGAGGCAGCAGUAGGGAAUCUUCCACAAUGGACGCAAGUCUGAUGGAGCAACGCCGCGUGAGUGAAGAAGGUUUUCGGAUCGUNAAGCUCUGUUGUUGGUGAAGAAGGAUAGAGGUAGUANCUG